CCAAACCUUACUUCCCCGUGAAUCGGCAGCAGGGCGUCGAGUGCCGAUAUAAUGCGCACUUGAAGCCCCGCCGCCAAACUUAACAUAAAUAAAAAACCUAGGUGCCGAAUUUUAUGACCUGCUGCACGAGAGUGUGGCUGGCUGUAAUUGCCGGUGCCGCCCACUACUAAAUGAAACCAAAACCUGAAUCCAAAGUCAUUGGCAUUCUCUCGGCUUUAGGGUCUGACGGAAGCCUCUGACUGUGUAAUUUAUUACAACUUUCAGCAAUGGAUGUCUUGGAUCCCACAACGAUGAAGAACGCAGCGAAAUGUGAUACGUAAUGCGAAUUGCAGGACCUCGUGAAUCAUCAAAUUUUUGAACGCACAUUGCGCUUUUGGGUAAUGCCCAAGAGCAUGCUCAUCUGAGUGUCCCUAAACCCCACUCAGCCACGGCAUGAUGCGAAAGCAUUAGCUGUGAGCUGGACUCUGACAGUGUUUGGCUUGCCGAACUCUGUUUAAAUUCACCAAUUUGAUGGUGACGUCUUUAGCCGAUGGGCUUCAGGCAGAAGCAAAUGCAACCCUGGAUUUGGUAGAUGCACCUAGUGUAUUUUCUUGUCCGAGUGUAGCUCUUGUGGUAUGUUUGUUGUGUGUUAGUUGAUGCGUCUCCUUCAAAGUGGGUUUGCCGAAACACUAUGGUGUUCGCGACAGACCUGACUUAAGUGUAUUAGCCAUGGAUCUCAGAUUGAGUAAGACUACCC
RNAcentral lists this ribosomal RNA (736 nucleotides) under Thalassiosira aff. guillardii IAL-2014. Its description in RNAcentral is "eukaryotic LSU rRNA". The stretch from base 256 to 410 matches the Rfam family "5.8S ribosomal RNA". The record is from RNAcentral. Lineage: Eukaryota; Bacillariophyta; Thalassiosirophyceae; Thalassiosirales; Thalassiosiraceae.